Long non-coding RNA from Chinchilla lanigera (long-tailed chinchilla), 780 nucleotides. RefSeq lists it as uncharacterized. The record is from RefSeq and is a predicted model, not a curated record. The transcript is spliced from 3 exons. Lineage: Eukaryota; Metazoa; Chordata; Mammalia; Rodentia; Chinchillidae.
CCCACCCUCUGUAUGGAAGCCCCUGUUUGGGUGCGUAGAUGGGUCACAAAAGCCCAAUCUGAUUUGGCAACAUACUGCAAUGUCAAUUAGACCUGCUUCAGCUGUGAAAUAGAUACUGGACAGCCCACCUUUCAGGAUGCUUCUUUGCUGUUAUUUUUACAUCUUACAUUUUCAAAACAUGAAAACCCAAACUGGAAAAUUAUUAGCAGCAGACAACAAUUUACAGAGAGACUCUUCCCUGGAAGGAGGAGCUUUUCUCAAAGGAGCUUCCCUGGAAGGAAAGUGCUUCCUGCAACUCCAGCCUUCCCCAAGAAGAGCUUUCACCAGAAUGAUCUUUAUCAGAUUUGCCAGGGUCCCAACGCCUCUACUGGUUCUUACUAGCAUCAACUCAAAGAAACCAUCCUCCUCAAAUCCUCACUGGAGUCAGCUUUUGUGGAACUCAACUAAAGACACUAUGGAACUGUGAAGUGUCCCCUGCUCCUAAGUGGGUGACAUGCUUGCAAGAUGCUUCAAAGAUGGGUCUGAGUAAUGUUCAUCCACUGGCUCCAGAAUCUCAACACUGCAUUACGGUGCUGGCUGGCAGGACUCUUCAGGAACUAUUUCCUUGGGUGUUUCCAACAAUCUCUUAAUUACUGUGUGCCAUCACUUCAUCCUUGUCACCUCCACAAACUGAAGCCUGAUAUCAGUCCUUGCUUGAAACUCUUUUCUCCCUUGUUUAAGGUUCUUCCACUACUGUCUUUCCUUUGUAGAACUUUCUCUGGAUCCCUCUUAAAUGCCUGU